This 433-nucleotide ribosomal RNA is filed under the name uncultured bacterium. RNAcentral describes it as "partial 16S ribosomal RNA". It matches the Rfam family "Bacterial small subunit ribosomal RNA", at positions 29 to 507 of the family's 1533-position model. The record is from RNAcentral.
AACGAACGCUGGCGGCAUGCCUAACACAUGCAAGUCGAACGAGACCUUCGGGCUUAGUGGCGCACGGGUGCGUAACGCGUGGGAACCUGCCCUUAGGUUCGGAAUAACUCAGAGAAAUUUGAGCUAAUACCGGAUAAUGUCUUCGGACCAAAGAUUUAUCGCCUUUGGAUGGGCCUGCGUAGGAUUAGCUUGUUGGUGGGGUAAUGGCCUACCAAGGCGACGAUCCUUAGCUGGUCUGAGAGGAUGAUCAGCCACACUGGGACUGAGACACGGCCCAGACUCCUACGGGAGGCAGCAGUGGGGAAUAUUGGACAAUGGGCGAAAGCCUGAUCCAGCAAUGCCGCGUGAGUGAUGAAGGCCUUAGGGUUGUAAAGCUCUUUUACCAGGGAUGAUAAUGACAGUACCUGGAGAAUAAGCUCCGGCUAACUCCGUG